Molecule: long non-coding RNA, 390 nt
Organism: Pezoporus flaviventris
Lineage: Eukaryota; Metazoa; Chordata; Aves; Psittaciformes; Psittacidae
Exons: 3
Source: RefSeq, a predicted model, not a curated record
CUUCGGGGUCAAAAGGAAGUGUUCUAUGCUGUGAAGCUCAGCCUAGAGAAGAGCCCAUGGGUCUUGGCAGAAGAACCUGCACCUUUAUGGCAGGAUGAGUCACACCUGUUGCCCUCAGGAUCACUUAGAAGAUAGAUCUCACUUGGAAGGAGCCAUGCUACGGAGUCCGUGUUCUUAAUCUGCACUCUGGCCCUGCUCCUUCAUCCUGGAUGCCAGGCCUGAACCUGUUGGAGGGGAUGGGAAGUGUCCUUCUGCAUCUUGCAUUGUGCCCUGGGUCUGCUGUGCAUUAGAGAUUGUCCAGGUCUGAAGACAGAUACACUCCAGCUCGCUUGGCUUUCACCCUUCACUCCUUCUUCAGAGCAGUGAAACCAUUUGAGAGGCUUGGAACAU